AUGAAGACUAUGGAGGUGAAUACACGUCUGUUCUUCAAAGCAAAGAGCAAUUCAUUGCAAAUACACUUAAAAUGGGACACAUCCAAAGAUGGCAGACUCUUCAUAAUAGAAAGGAACUUUAUGAAGUAUUUCUAUUGCAUUUCAGCUGACUUUAUUAUUUAUUUAUUUAUUUACUUAUUUAUUUUGGGACAGGGUCUCACUUUGUCACCCAGGCUGGUGGGCAGUGGCGUGAUCUUGGCUUACUGCAGCCUCAACCUUCUGGGUUCAAGGGAUCCUCCCAUCUCAACCCCCACCAAGUACCAGCUGCCUUUUAAAUGUCGCUCAUGCAUCACGUUCCCUGCAGGAUCCUGUGUCUCUGAAGAGUGGGCAGGGGAGUGUCCAUUGGCAGCACCUGCCUCCUGAGUGUCUUCCAGGCCAUCACCGUCAGCCCCGGGAGCUCAGGAUCUAACAUAUAUUAACACCGUGUGUCUAAAGUCGUCCCUGCUGGGCAUCUGGAGGAAUCUGAGAAGGGGCAGGUCUUUGUUGUGACUCUCAGAGCAGCACCUACUGCUGGACAGGGCGGGACACCCCAUCUCAAGCCCAAUCUCAUCCACCGACAAGGUCCGUUAUCUCCUGUCCGGGGAAGAGGCGGGCCUGUCUCCGUCCUGGGAGGAGCUCUGGGCUUCUCCUUCAUCCAGAGAUGUGCCCCAGGGACCAGCCAGUGGGGCUGGGAGGAGCCCCCCUCAGCAGAGAAGACACAGGUGCCUGGGUGGCCGAGGCCUAGAAGGUCUGCACCAUGGUGCACGGAGGCCCCGGAGCUGGGUGAGCCCAGAAAGCUGCCCUGGGGUCCGCGGGGACUGUGCCUGCUGAAUCUGCACCUGAGCUACGUCUUCACAAAUGGCCUCAGACCUAGAGUGCAGGGAGAUCCCCUGGCUUUUCUGAAGUGGUGGCCGGUGGUCCCCUGGGGAGCAGGACCUGGGCUGCUUACUGCCCUCACCCAGUGAGGGCCCGCGGGGAGCUCUUAAGGCGGGAAUCAUGGGUCUGCCUGAUGUGACUGCUGUGCCCACAUCAGAGGGUUUUUCUUUCUUUUCCGAAGUCAAGCUGCACUAAUCCAGACCAGGGAUCCCACCCCUGGGCUGCGGACCGGUCCCUGUGGGUGGCCUGUUGGGAACUGGACCGCACAGCCAGAGGUGAGCAGUGGGUGAGAGAGCCUGACCCCCUGAGCUCGCCUCCUGUGAGAUCAGCAGCGCCACUGCAUCCCAGAGGAGUGGGAACCCUACUGUGCACGGCGCAUGCGAGGCAUCUGGGUGGCAUCCUCUUUAUGAGAAUCGAUGAUCUCAGGCGGAACAGGUUAAUCCUGAAACCAUUCCCCUGUCUGUGAAAAAACUGCCCUCCACGAAACCAGUCCCUGGUGCCAAAAACGCUGGGAACCGCUGAUCUAGACAGUUCUCUGCUAAGGAAGCACGUGGUUGAGAAACAUCAGACUCGUUCCCACGGACCCUGCUCUGGAGUUUCAGCAGGCGCCUGGAGGUGAGCCCCACUGACCUCUCCUCUCCCCUCCGUACCUCCUCAGCUUUGGUAAUGAAAAGCUGCAUCCUCUUCGGUCCCCAAUUCCUCUCUGGGUGUCAGGAGCUCUAAAACCCUCUCAGCCGCUGAGAAAUCUGUCUGUCUGUCUCACAGCGUCUUCAUCCGUGCAUCAUGAAGGACACUCACAUGGUGACGUGCCUUGGCUCAUGUGAGUAACACUGCAGCAAGCAUGGGGGUGCAGAUAUCUCUUGGAAACACUCAUUUCCUUCAGAUACACACUCAGAGGUGGGAUUGCUGGAUCGUAUGGCCAUUUUGAUUUUUUAAAUUAAAAAGAAUUUUAAUUCUCAUAUUGUUUUGAGUAAAGUUAGAUUAUAACUUGUGAGGCAACUCGAUGCUUUUUAUAAUUGUUUAAGAAAUAAUUGCUCUGCCAACUGACUGUCCCAACAACAGUGUACAGGGGUAUUUUUUUUUUCCUCCACAUCCUCAUUUCUUUUGUCUUUUUAAUACCAGCAAUCCUCAGACAUGGGAAUUGAUACCUCACUGCGAUUUUCAUUCGCAUUUCCUGAUGAUUUAGUCAUAUUCAGGCGCCCCCCCCCACCUUUUUUUUUUUUUUUUUUUUUGAGAUGUAC
This is a long non-coding RNA of Macaca nemestrina (pig-tailed macaque), 2135 nucleotides long. The record is from Ensembl. Lineage: Eukaryota; Metazoa; Chordata; Mammalia; Primates; Cercopithecidae.